UGUAUUUAGCAUGCUAGCUAACAGGGACACUUCACUUUAGCUUCCUUGCUAGCUUCAUCUGUGCUGCUGGCAAGUGAAAGUCACUGCUGGUAGAAGUGCAGCCAUUGUUACUGUGUCAGUGCAGCUGCCGGUGAAACAUCCAGGAGAAGGUAACGUAGAGGGGCUCAGCCAAAUGGCUCGUCCAGGUGCUGCUGCAGAAAGUUCAUCCUCCAUGUUGUUAACUGUUUGAGAAGCUACCUGCAAAGAGGAGGUGCUGUGGUCAGGAUAAUGUAUGCUGCAGCCACAGGAGGCCCAACCUGAAGAUGCUUGGAGCACCCAAAAAGGAAAACCCCAAGCAUCACAUUUUCAGCGGCGACUGACCUGACUGGUUUUCACAAAUGUCGGCUCACACAACUGCAGCAAGAAAUAUAAUAACUUUGUUGCAGAAAGUAAGACCUGCUGUUGCUCACUUCCAGUGUGAUCAUGUGUCUGUUGUGUGUAAGGAACUCUCUUUACCACAGAGUUUGGGCUUUUUAACAUUGCAGAACUUUAGCAAACACAAAAAUACAUCAGAGGAAAGUACCACUUU
Platichthys flesus (European flounder) is the source of this 568-nucleotide long non-coding RNA. RefSeq lists it as uncharacterized. The record is from RefSeq and is a predicted model, not a curated record. The transcript is spliced from 3 exons. NCBI's taxonomy places the organism in Eukaryota, Metazoa, Chordata, Actinopteri, Pleuronectiformes, Pleuronectidae.